CAUAUACAAAGAGAAGCGACCUCGCGAGAGCAAGCGGACCUCAUAAAGUAUGUCGUAGUCCGGAUUGGAGUCUGCAACUCGACUCCAUGAAGUCGGAAUCGCUAGUAAUCGUAGAUCAGAAUGCUACGGUGAAUACGUUCCCGGGCCUUGUACACACCGCCCGUCACACCAUGGGAGUGGGUUGCAAAAGAAGUAGGUAGCUUAACCUUCGGGAGGGCGCUUACCACUUUGUGAUUCAUGACUGGGGUGAAGUCGUAACAAGGUAACCGUAGGGGAACCUGCGGUUGGAUCACCUCCUU
This 299-nucleotide ribosomal RNA is filed under the name Klebsiella pneumoniae. Its description in RNAcentral is "partial 16S ribosomal RNA". It matches the Rfam family "Bacterial small subunit ribosomal RNA", at positions 1234 to 1532 of the family's 1533-position model. The record is from RNAcentral. RNAcentral also lists the same sequence under 2 other names. Lineage: Bacteria; Pseudomonadati; Pseudomonadota; Gammaproteobacteria; Enterobacterales; Enterobacteriaceae.